UAGGGAAUCUUCGGCAAUGGACGAAAGUCUGACCGAGCAACGCCGCGUGAGUGAAGAAGGUUUUCGGAUCGUAAAACUCUGUUGUUAGAGAAGAACAAGGACGUUAGUAACUGAACGUCCCCUGACGGUAUCUAACCAGAAAGCCACGGCUAACUACGUGCCAGCAGCCGCGGUAAUACGUAGGUGGCAAGCGUUGUCCGGAUUUAUUGGGCGUAAAGCGAGCGCAGGCGGUUUCUUAAGUCUGAUGUGAAAGCCCCCGGCACAACCGGGGAGGGUCAUUGGAAACUGGGAGACUUGAGUGCAGAAGAGGAGAGUGGAAUUCCAUGUGUAGCGGUGAAAUGCGUAGAUAUAUGGGGGAACACCAGUGGCGAAGGCGGCUCUCUGGUCUGUAACUGACGCUGAGGCUCGAAAGCGUGGGGAGCAAACAGG
Molecule: ribosomal RNA, 429 nt
Filed under: Gemmatimonadota bacterium
Lineage: Bacteria; Pseudomonadati; Gemmatimonadota
Description: Gemmatimonadetes bacterium partial 16S ribosomal RNA
Rfam family: Bacterial small subunit ribosomal RNA
Source: RNAcentral